GAUUCUUUUUUGGAAUCCCCAUUUUCCACCUUUGAGUCAGGUGUUAAUGUAGAUUCAAGUGGCAGUGUAUCUUACAGCCUCUGGCGGUGCUUCUGAUCCUGGUCACUCUACUUCCCACUUUCUAAAUUACCUUUGUUGGCGAUUCUGUCUUUUUCGUCUUUCUCACCCCUCCGGGACCUCUUGGGACUGGGUUCUCUGUCAAAC
Molecule: long non-coding RNA, 204 nt
Filed under: Malus domestica (apple)
Lineage: Eukaryota; Viridiplantae; Streptophyta; Magnoliopsida; Rosales; Rosaceae
Description: long non-coding RNA (MDOM_LNC016835)
Source: RNAcentral